Molecule: microRNA precursor, 91 nt
Filed under: Canis lupus familiaris (dog)
Lineage: Eukaryota; Metazoa; Chordata; Mammalia; Carnivora; Canidae
Also listed under: 1 other name
Description: mir-8799 microRNA precursor family
Rfam family: mir-8799 microRNA precursor family
Source: Rfam by way of RNAcentral
GGGGGGAGGCCGGAUCCUGGGCUGUGUCCCGGCGCCCUGUGCUCCGGGGCCUGCGCUGUUGGAUUCGCGCUCCCGGGCCGCGCAGCCCCCU